RNAcentral lists this ribosomal RNA (368 nucleotides) under uncultured eukaryote. RNAcentral describes it as "SSU rRNA". It matches the Rfam family "Eukaryotic small subunit ribosomal RNA", at positions 587 to 972 of the family's 1831-position model. The record is from RNAcentral. RNAcentral also lists the same sequence under 1 other name.
AGCUCCAAUAGCGUAUAUUAAAGUUGUUGCAGUUAAAAAGCUCGUAGUUGAAGUUCUGAUUGUUCAGGUCUUCAGUCAUUAGACGGGGAUUCUGACAGUCAUCCGCUUGCAAACAUAUGUUCGAUUUUAACCGAUCGGCUAUGUGAGUAAGCAUUUUACCUUGAGAAAAACAGAGUGUUCCAGGCAGGUUUGUCCGGAAUGCAUUAGCAUGGAAUAAUAGAACAUGACUGGAGUCUAUUUAUUGGUUUAAGGCUUUAGUAAUGAUUAAUAGGAACAGUCGGGGGCAUUCGUACUCAGCAGUCAGAGGUGAAAUUCUAAGAUUUGCUGAAGACGAACUAAUGCGAAAGCAUUUGCCAAGGAUGUUUUCA